CUCCUUUGACGUUAGCGGCGGACGGGUGAGUAACACGUGGGUAACCUACCUAUAAGACUGGGAUAACUUCGGGAAACCGGAGCUAAUACCGGAUAAUAUUUCGAACCGCAUGGUUCGAUAGUGAAAGGUGGUUUUGCUAUCACUUAUGGAUGGACCCGCGCCGUAUUAGCUAGUUGGUAAGGUAACGGCUUACCAAGGCGACGAUACGUAGCCGACCUGAGAGGGUGAUCGGCCACACUGGAACUGAGACACGGUCCAGACUCCUACGGGAGGCAGCAGAA
RNAcentral lists this ribosomal RNA (281 nucleotides) under uncultured Staphylococcus sp. Its description in RNAcentral is "partial 16S ribosomal RNA". It matches the Rfam family "Bacterial small subunit ribosomal RNA", at positions 81 to 354 of the family's 1533-position model. The record is from RNAcentral. Lineage: Bacteria; Bacillati; Bacillota; Bacilli; Caryophanales; Staphylococcaceae.